Molecule: unclassified non-coding RNA, 217 nt
Filed under: soil metagenome
Description: partial contains 5.8S ribosomal RNA, internal transcribed spacer 2, and large subunit ribosomal RNA
Source: RNAcentral
AACAAGGCGUACCUGCGGACCUGCGGAGGGAUCAUUACAAGAAUCGAGGCUGACGGUGCCUACUCCCUAGGCUCCGUCCAGUCCCGCUCUCUACCUUGCCUACUGCACCGUUUGUUGCUUCCUGGCGGCGUCCCGUCGCCAGGGCCUUUUGAAAGCCAAGUAUAAGCAUUGAAACUUCUGACAUACACUAAAUCGUACAACUUUUAACAAUGGAUCU